Molecule: long non-coding RNA, 285 nt
Organism: Nyctereutes procyonoides (raccoon dog)
Lineage: Eukaryota; Metazoa; Chordata; Mammalia; Carnivora; Canidae
Exons: 3
Source: RefSeq, a predicted model, not a curated record
GCCCAUUCCUCUUCUCUUGCCUGCUGGGAUGUGCUGACCAGUGGCUAACCACUCAGCGGUAAUCAGGUUAGAGAUGGAUGGUCAUCCUUUGGGCACCAUACAAACAAGCAAGUCUAGGUUACAAGAAAAGUUUAUUGGAAGCUCUGGGCUCAUCGGUGUGACUUUUUGCUUACAGGCUUUAAUGCUCCUCCAGUGUGAACUCAAGACAGUGUCUGCAAAGCUGCUAUACUCCGUAAUAAAGAUGGGACAAAAAGUUUGAGCUUACCUCAUGGCAUAUCUACUGGA